Long non-coding RNA from Cavia porcellus (domestic guinea pig), 494 nucleotides. RefSeq lists it as uncharacterized. The record is from RefSeq and is a predicted model, not a curated record. Lineage: Eukaryota; Metazoa; Chordata; Mammalia; Rodentia; Caviidae. The transcript is spliced from 2 exons.
CAAAACUAGACAGGGGAUUGUUGUGGGAACUGUGUACUAGUGACAAUAUUUCACGGUGGCAUUGGUUAUGGAGGCAGAUAUGAACUGAAGCUAUGCCUUACUGGGCACCCUCUAAUUGAUAAGCCUGAUUCCUACUAAUGUUCCUCUCCUCUAAGCCUGAGAGCCUCCUUCGUGAACAACUGUGAUGGAACCUCUAUGAGAAGGAGCAGAAGAGCCGGAAGGUGACAACUAGAGCUACCAUGAGCAGCAGCUAUGCUGCCUCCUGUCAUUCUGCCAUGAUUUCUGUUUUGGAGCCAAAUUACGUAUGAAUUGAAACCACAUGCAAAUCAGAUGUCUCCUUCUGUGUCCCGUGAUGAGCAAACUGACUAAUACAAUCUCUUUGCAUUUCUGAUACUGGAAACCAAGAAGCUAAAGCAAAGAAGUCGUCUAAGGGGAACUGUGAAGAAUUACCGUUACCCGCCAUGUAUUGGAUGAAAUAAAUGAAUUUAAGCACU